UACGCAGGCGGUUUGUUAAGCGAGAUGUGAAAGCCCCGGGCUCAACCUGGGAACUGCAUUUCGAACUGGCAAACUAGAGUGUGAUAGAGGGUGGUAGAAUUUCAGGUGUAGCGGUGAAAUGCGUAUAGAUCUGAAGGAAUACCGAUGGCGAAGGCAGCCACCUGGGUCAACACUGACGCUCAUGUACGAAAGCGUGGGGAGCAAACGGGAUUAGAUACCCCGGUAGUCCACGCCGUAAACGAUGUCUACUAUAAGCUCGGAACCUCGGUUCUGUUUUUCAAAGCUAACGCAUUAAGUAGACCGCCUGGGGAGUACGGCCGCAAGGUUAAAACUCAAAUGAAUUGACGGGGGCCCGCACAAGCGGUGGAGCAUGUGGUUUAAUUCGAUGCAACGCGAAGAACCUUACCUACACUUGACAUACAGAGAACUUUCUAGAGAUAGAUUGGUGCCUUCGGGAACUCUGAUACAGGUGCUGCAUGGCUGUCGUCAGCUCGUGUUGUGAGAUGUUGGGUUAAAGUCCCCGCAACGAGCGCAACCCCUAUCCCUUAGUUUGCUAGCAGGGUAAUGCUGA
Molecule: ribosomal RNA, 571 nt
Filed under: uncultured bacterium
Lineage: Bacteria
Description: bacterial SSU rRNA
Rfam family: Bacterial small subunit ribosomal RNA
Source: RNAcentral